This 253-nucleotide ribosomal RNA is filed under the name uncultured bacterium. RNAcentral describes it as "partial 16S ribosomal RNA". It matches the Rfam family "Bacterial small subunit ribosomal RNA", at positions 524 to 776 of the family's 1533-position model. The record is from RNAcentral.
UACGGGGGGGGCAAGCGUUGUUCGGAAUUACUGGGCGUAAAGGGCUCGUAGGCGGCCAACUAAGUCGGAUGUGAAAUCCCCAGGCUUAACCUGGGAACUGCAUCCGAUACUGGAUGGCUUGAAUCCGGGAGAGGGAUGCAGAAUUCCAGGUGUAGCGGUGAAAUGCGUAGAUAUCGAGAGGAACACCUGCGGCGAAGGCGGGUUGCUGGGCUGACACUGACGCUGAUGCGCGAAAGCCAGGGGAGCGAACGGG